CCUACGGGGGCCAGCAGUGGGGAAUAUUGGGCAAUGCGCGCAAGCCUGACCCAGCAACGCCGCGUGAAGGAAGAAGGCUUUCGGGUUGUAAACUUCUUUUGUCAGGGAAGAGUAGAAGACGGUACCUGACGAUUAAGCCACGGCUAUCUACGUGCCAGCACCCGUGGUAAUACGUAGGUGGCAAGCGUUGUCCGGAUUUACUGGGUGUAAAGGGCGUGUAGCCGGGUUGACAAGUUAGAUGUGAAAUCCUGCGGCUUAACCGCAGAACUGCAUUGGAAAUUGUUGAUCUUGAGUACUGGAGAGGCAGACGGAAUUCGUAGUGUAGCGGUGAAAUGCGUAGAUAUUAGGAGGAACACCAGUGGCGAAGGCGGUCUGUUGGACAGCAACUGACGGUGAAGCGCGAAAGCGUGGGGAGCAAACAGGAUUAGAUACCCGGGUAGUC
Molecule: ribosomal RNA, 442 nt
Filed under: uncultured bacterium
Lineage: Bacteria
Description: partial 16S ribosomal RNA
Rfam family: Bacterial small subunit ribosomal RNA
Source: RNAcentral